This is a long non-coding RNA of Etheostoma cragini (Arkansas darter), 245 nucleotides long. RefSeq lists it as uncharacterized. Lineage: Eukaryota; Metazoa; Chordata; Actinopteri; Perciformes; Percidae. The transcript is spliced from 3 exons. The record is from RefSeq and is a predicted model, not a curated record.
UAAAAUUACCAACCGUCUCCUGCUCUCCCUCUAACAGUUAGAUAGAGACUCAGCCGAAGGUGACACAACCUCCUCCGAUUGGCCAAAACUAGGUUUCUGUUAACCCUUCCCUGGCCUGGGUUACAGGUGCAUGGCAUCUGCAACCGACACACAGAAUAUUAAACCUGUUUCAAACCCUUCCAACCUGUAAUUGUUUGUCCUCUGUCUCUAACAGACAAGUUCACAAACUCUUACUUGAGGCACGU